UUACCAAUCAGAGUUUAUUGACAAAGUCGUGUCUAAUAUUUAUACAAAUUUGUGAACCAUAGUGACCAGACGCACUAGACCAUUUGGACUCUUAAGACAUCAGACGCAAGUUUUCCGUAAGAAAAGUACAAUGGCGGACAAAACUGGAGAAAUUGAUUUGGUGAAUAGGGAUCCUAACGGCCUUAACAGUCAUCUCGGGAUCUUGCCUUAACAACCUCUUUCGAUAUUUGGGUGUGAAUGUAUUUUCAGGACCCUACUUUUCAAUGACGUCAUUGGAGAACCGGAUGGGACCCACAGUAUCGACUGCGUCUUCAAACUGUCCAACACCUGCUUUGAGUUAUGGAAGGGUCUGUGCUACAAGUUGCUGA
Molecule: long non-coding RNA, 368 nt
Organism: Ostrea edulis (European flat oyster)
Lineage: Eukaryota; Metazoa; Mollusca; Bivalvia; Ostreida; Ostreidae
Exons: 3
Source: RefSeq, a predicted model, not a curated record